AUUGAACGCUGGCGGCGUGCUUAACACAUGCAAGUCGAACGAAGUGGCGAACGGGUGAGUAACGCGUAAUCAACCUGCCCUUUAGAGGGGGACAACAGUUGGAAACGCCUGCUAAUACCGCAUACUGAAGGAGGGGAUUGCGUCUGAUUAGCUAGUUGGAGGGGUAACGGCCCCACAAGGCGAUGAUCAGUAGCCGGUCUGAGAGGAUGAACGGCCACAUUGGGACUGGGACACGGCCCAGACGCCUACGGGAGGCAGCAGGGGGGAAUCUUCCGCAAUGGACGAAAGUCUGACGGAGCAACGCCGCGUGAGUGAUGACGGCCUUCGGGUUGUAAAGCUCUGUUAAUCGGGACGCGGUACCGGAAUAGAAAGCCACGGCUAACUACGUGCCAGCAGCCGCGGUAAUUC
Molecule: ribosomal RNA, 408 nt
Filed under: uncultured bacterium
Lineage: Bacteria
Description: partial 16S ribosomal RNA
Rfam family: Bacterial small subunit ribosomal RNA
Source: RNAcentral